RNAcentral lists this unclassified non-coding RNA (26 nucleotides) under Dictyostelium discoideum. The record is from RNAcentral. Lineage: Eukaryota; Evosea; Eumycetozoa; Dictyosteliales; Dictyosteliaceae.
CUGAAAAUCCCCAGCUUCCAACGUUG